CAUAGUGUGCUCUGGAAACUGUCUGACUNGAGUGCAGAAGGGGAGAGUGGAAUUCCAUGUGUAGCGGUGAAAUGCGUAGAUAUAUGGAGGAACACCAGUGGCGAAAGCGGCUCUCUGGUCUGUCACUGACGCUGAGGCUCGAAAGCGUGGGUAGCGAACAGGAUUAGAUACCCUGGUAGUNCACGCCGUAAACGAUGAGUGCUAGGUGUUAGGCCCUUUCCGGGGCUUAGUGCCGGAGCUAACGCAAUAAGCACUCCGCCUGGGGAGUACGACCGCAAGGUUGAAACUCAAAGGAAUUGACGGGGGCCCGCACAAGCGGUGGAGCAUGUGGUUUAAUUCGAAGCAACGCGAAGAACCUUACCAGGUCUUGACAUCCCGAUGCUAUUCUUAGAGAUAGGAAGUUACUUCGGUACAUCGGAGACAGGUGGUGCAUGGUUGUCGUCAGCUCGUGUCGUGAGAUGUUGGGUUAAGUCCCGCAACGAGCGCAACCCUUAUUGUUAGUUGCCAUCAUUAAGUUGGGCACUCUAGCGAGACUGCCGGUAAUAAACCGGAGGAAGGUGGGGAUGACGUCAAAUCAUCAUGCCCCUUAUGACCUGGGCUACACACGUGCUACAAUGGUCGGUACAACGAGUUGCGAGCCGGUGACGGCAAGCUAAUCUCUGAAAGCCGAUCUCAGUUCGGAUUGGAGGCUGCAACUCGCCUCCAUGAAGUCGGAAUCGCUAGUAAUCGCGGAUCAGCACGCCGCGGUGAAUACGUUCCCGGGCCUUGUACACACCGCCCGUCACACCACGAGAGUUUGUAACACCCGAAGUCGGUGAGGUAACCUUUUA
Molecule: ribosomal RNA, 830 nt
Filed under: uncultured bacterium
Lineage: Bacteria
Description: bacterial SSU rRNA
Rfam family: Bacterial small subunit ribosomal RNA
Source: RNAcentral